Molecule: ribosomal RNA, 390 nt
Filed under: uncultured Alphaproteobacteria bacterium
Lineage: Bacteria; Pseudomonadati; Pseudomonadota; Alphaproteobacteria
Description: bacterial SSU rRNA
Rfam family: Bacterial small subunit ribosomal RNA
Source: RNAcentral
GAGUUUGAUCCUGGCUCAGAACGAACGCUGGCGGCAGGCCUCAAACAUGCAAGUCUAGGGGGUAGCAAUACCACCGGCGGACGGGUGCGUAACACGUGGGAAUAUACCUUUUGGUUCGGAACAACGCAGGGAAACUUGCGCUAAUACCGAAUGUGCCCUUACGGGGAAAGAUUUAUCGCCAAAGGAUUAGCCCGCGUCCGAUUAGCUAGUUGGUGAGGUAAUGGCUCACCAAGGCUCCGAUCGGUAGCUGUUCUGAGAGGAAGAUCAGCCACACUGGGACUGAGACACGGCCCAGACUCCUACGGGAGGCAGCAGUUGGGAAUCUUGGACAAUGGGGGAACCCUGAUCCAGCCAUGCCGCGUGAGUGAUGAAGGCCUUCGGGUUGUAAAC